Molecule: ribosomal RNA, 291 nt
Filed under: uncultured Desulfovibrio sp.
Lineage: Bacteria; Pseudomonadati; Thermodesulfobacteriota; Desulfovibrionia; Desulfovibrionales; Desulfovibrionaceae
Description: partial 16S ribosomal RNA
Rfam family: Bacterial small subunit ribosomal RNA
Source: RNAcentral
AACGAGCGCAACCCUACUUGCCAGUUGCUACCAGGUAAUGCUGGGCACUCUGGUGAGACUGCCCGGUUAACGGGGAGGAAGGUGGGGACGACGUCAAGUCAUCAUGGCCCUUACGCCUAGGGCUACACACGUACUACAAUGGCGCAUACAAAGGGCAGCGAUACCGCGAGGUGGAGCCAAUCCCAAAAAGUGCGUCCCAGUCCGGAUUGCAGUCUGCAACUCGACUGCAUGAAGUUGGAAUCGCUAGUAAUUCGAGAUCAGCAUGCUCGGGUGAAUGCGUUCCCGGGCCUU